RNAcentral lists this ribosomal RNA (405 nucleotides) under uncultured bacterium. Its description in RNAcentral is "partial 16S ribosomal RNA". It matches the Rfam family "Bacterial small subunit ribosomal RNA", at positions 28 to 526 of the family's 1533-position model. The record is from RNAcentral.
GAUGAACGCUGGCGGCGUGCCUAAUACAUGCAAGUCGAGCGGAGCGGGGACGGGUGAGUAACAAAUGGAUAGCCUCUUAUCAGACUGGGAUAACUUCGGGAAACCAGAGCUAAACCGGCUACUUAUUGCUGAAUCCGCGCUGCAUUAGCGAGUUGGUAAGGUAACGGCUUACCAAGGCAACGAUGCAUAGCCGACCUGAGAGGGUGAUCGGCCACACUGGAACUGAGACACGGUCCAGACUCCUACGGGAGGCAGCAGUAGGGAAUCUUCCGCAAUGGGCGAAAGCCUGACAGAGCAACGCCGCGUGAGUGAUGAAGGUCUUCGGAUCGUAAAACUCUGUUAUUAGGGAAGCGGUACCUAAUCAGAAAGCCACGGCUAACUACGUGCCAGCAGCCGCGGUAAUUC